This is a long non-coding RNA of Apus apus (common swift), 450 nucleotides long. RefSeq lists it as uncharacterized. The transcript has 3 exons. The record is from RefSeq and is a predicted model, not a curated record. NCBI's taxonomy places the organism in Eukaryota, Metazoa, Chordata, Aves, Apodiformes, Apodidae.
CAACACACAAGUUGAACCAAAGUACAUGGGACUUCACUAAAAAGUAUGUACCCAGCUGCAUUGCUGAUGUGGGUGAGUGAACUACAACCAGCCUAAGCCAGCUCCUGGAUUUUGUCUUAUCCCUUUACUCCUGGCUACACGUUUUGGACCUGAAUUUCUGCUGAUGAGGUUGGACUUUACCACGUUACAGAAGCCUGGUACAAAGCUGGCACCACGGAUGUUCCUCUUUGGCUUACACAACACAUCUCCUGUGCUGCACAGAGAUGGGGAGUCUACAUUUCAAGUAUUAGAUAUACUGUGCUUCUGCUCAGUACCAUCAAACCACAGUAAAUAAACGCCACUAAGUGCCACCGUGAGUGAAGGAGCUUAUAAUGAGAAGUGUGAGUAGACAUGUGUGCCAUUCAUCAUUCUGUUCAGUCCAAUAUUGGGGCUCUUUUUAUCAGCAGUAUU